This 372-nucleotide ribosomal RNA is filed under the name uncultured organism. RNAcentral's name for it is "bacterial SSU rRNA". It matches the Rfam family "Bacterial small subunit ribosomal RNA", at positions 526 to 896 of the family's 1533-position model. The record is from RNAcentral.
CAGAGGUCCCAAGCGUUGUUCGGAUUCACUGGGCGUAAAGGGUGCGUAGGUGGUAGGGUAAGUCGGAUGUGAAAUCUCCGAGCUCAACUCGGAAAUGGCAUUGGAAACUACCCUGCUAGAGGGUCGGAGGGGGGACUGGAAUACUUGGUGUAGCAGUGAAAUGCGUAGAUAUCAAGUGGAGCACCAGUGGCGAAGGCGAGUCCCUGGACGACUCCUGACACUGAGGCACGAAAGCUAGGGGAGCAAACAGGAUUAGAUACCCUGGUAGUCCUAGCCGUAAACGGUGCACGUUUGCUGUAAAAGGAAUCGACCCCUUUUGUGGCGUAGCCAACGCGUUAAACGUGCCGCCUGGGAAGUACGGUCGCAAGAUUA